This is an unclassified non-coding RNA of Pongo abelii (Sumatran orangutan), 148 nucleotides long. It matches the Rfam family "Metazoan signal recognition particle RNA". Rfam says of the family: The signal recognition particle (SRP) is a universally conserved ribonucleoprotein. It is involved in the co-translational targeting of proteins to membranes. The eukaryotic SRP consists of a 300-nucleotide 7S RNA and six proteins: SRPs 72, 68, 54, 19, 14, and 9. The record is from Ensembl. NCBI's taxonomy places the organism in Eukaryota, Metazoa, Chordata, Mammalia, Primates, Hominidae.
GCUGGGCAUGGUGGUGUAUGCCUGUAGUCCCAGAUACUUGGGAGGCUGAGGAAGGAGGAUCGCUUGAGCCCAGGAGUUCAAGGGUACAGUGAACUGUCAUUGUGCCACUGUACUUCAGCCUGGGUGACACAGCGAGAUGCUGUCUCUA